Molecule: ribosomal RNA, 460 nt
Filed under: uncultured bacterium
Lineage: Bacteria
Description: partial 16S ribosomal RNA
Rfam family: Bacterial small subunit ribosomal RNA
Source: RNAcentral
CCUACGGGAGGCAGCAGUGAGGAAUAUUGGUCAAUGAGCGUAAGCCUGAACCAGCCAAGUAGCGUGAGGGAUGAAGGUUCUAUGGAUCGUAAACCUCGUUUAUAAGGGAAUAAAGUGCGGGACGUAUCCCGUUUUGUAUGUACCUUAUGAAUAAGGAUCGGCUAACUCCGUUAAAGCAGCCGCGGUAAUACGGAGGAUCCGACCGUUAUCCGGUUCUAUUGGGUUUAAAGGGUGCGUAGGGGGGCUUUUAAGUCAGCGGUGAAAGUCUAUGGCUCAACCCUAGAAUUGCCGUUGAAACUGGUUUUCUUGAGUGAGCGAGAAGUAUGCGGAAUGCGUGGUGUAGCGGUGAAAUGCAUAGAUAUCACGCAGAACUCCGAUUGCGAAGGCAGCAUACCGGCGCUCAACUGACGCUCAUGCACGAAAGUGUGGGUAUCGAACAGGAUUAGAUACCCUAGUAGUC